Molecule: long non-coding RNA, 8030 nt
Organism: Aedes albopictus (Asian tiger mosquito)
Lineage: Eukaryota; Metazoa; Arthropoda; Insecta; Diptera; Culicidae
Exons: 2
Source: RefSeq, a predicted model, not a curated record
GCACAGUCAUGGUCCUGUCCGUGCUCGGAAUCGAUCAACGAAGGCACGAAUUCAUCAUCUGCCGAGUCCGGGGCUUGGCCCGUAGUACUAGGGAGUACACCGGUGGGAUUAGCGAUUCUCGCAGCCUUGGUCUUGGAACGGGUUUGGCGGACGAAUGAUUUCUCCAUUCUCCGGUCGAUAAAUCUUUGAGUUAUUGUUGAGAACGUUCGGUUUCGGAGGUCUUACGAAGCAAACUCGUCGUUGUUCCCGAUCGAAAGUAAGCUCAAAGCUGUAAAUUUAUUACCAUUAGUAACAUACUAGUUCAUUUUCCAUUUCAAUUUACUUACAUUUAGUCUCCUUAUACCUCGCCAUAGUUCUAGUUCAACAAUAUAACUUUUUUAACUUCUACAAUUUAGCUAAUCUGAAAUAAGAUCUAUAUCUAGAAAUAGUUUUAUAUAUGGAAAUUUUAUUAAUUACUUGAUAGUGAUGGGUUUUCUGAAAGUCGCCUCGAUGAUUCUGCACUUUUAAUCUUCAAUCUAUAUUUGACAGCUAUCUGACAAUUGACUGACAGAUCUCUCAUUACUUCAAUUAGCCACACGCACACUACUCAAAUUAGUUGAGAGACUUUUCAGUGGCAGGGUUGCCGGUAACAGGGAUUGUUAUGGCCUUCACUGGUUUUAUUGUUGCUAACAAAAUACACUGAAAAAAAAUCAUUCGAACGAGAAAAUGUUAGAAAAACUUUUUUUCCUUAAAAGUGCCCAUCUUGUGAUGUAUGGACGGUUGGUAGGAAACAUAAUUACCUGUCUUGAGACAAAAUUUCAUCAAAAUCAAAAAUGGUGUUUUUUUUAAAUCAACUUUGAAUUUUUAGAAAUGAUUUUUUUCAGUGUAGAGCUCAUUUUGGAUUUUUUUCAGUAUUUUUUUCUUAAAAUUUGACUUAUUUUGUGAUAACCACCCAUACAACACUUUUUUGUAGGAGUAGUCAUUUUUUGAUUAAAAACUUUUUUUAAAAAUCCAUAAAAAAAGUUUAGCCCUUUUCAAAAGUAAGUCGAGAAAAAAAAAAUAGAAAAAUGAGUAUGCAAAGUGGCUUAUCUGGGCAAGGUCUACACACCCAGAAAGUUUCGUUGUAAUCUGAGAGGGUGCUGCCAACAUUUGUUCGAGUUGGCGCGAAAUCCGUCGGAAGCACUGCGGAUUUCCUGCACUCAGGAAAAUUGCCUCAUACUUAAUGGCAAAUAUCCAUGUGCCAAACUACAUCCAAAGUAUAUGCAACCAAUACCCGAUUACGCAGGCAAAUUAGCACAUGAAUAGUAUGUGCUCUAAAUUGUAUGAGUCGGUGCUAUAUGGUGCCUCAUCAAAAGUAUGAGUCACACUAAUGGAAAACAUUUGUUUACCCCCAUUGCAAAAAUCCAUGUCCCGGACACAUAGAAGGAAUGAAGAUUUUUUUCCCAGUGUGUGGUUAAUUUUAAAACAAUUCCAGUUCAGUGAAUAUGUUUGUUUUCUGGAAGAAGGGAAUUAUGUGAGAAUCUGCAGCAUUGCUCUUGAUCUGUCGAAAGAAAUAUGAGGUUUCCUAGUUCUCGAAAAAUCCUAAAAGAGUUCUUUCAGGAGUUCCCCGAUAAUUCCUCUAGAAUGUCCCCCAGGAGUUCACGGGAAUUCAUCCAGCAGUUCUCCUCAAGUUCUUCCUUCAGGAGAUUAUCAGGAAUUCCUCCAAAGUUUCCCGGAUAUUCCCGUAGGAGAUCCUCGGGAAGUCCUCCAGGAGUUCCCCGGGAAUUCUUCAAGGAGUGUCCCGGAAGCUCCUCCAGGGAUUCCCCAGGAAAUCAUCCAGAAACUUUCAGGUGCUUCCUCCAGGAAAUCCCCGAUAAAACUUCCGGGAGUUCCCCGGGAAUGCAUCCGGAAGUUCCCAGUUAAUUCUUUCAGGAGUUCGCCGGGAGUAUAUCCAGGAGUUCCCCGUAAAUUCUUGUAGGAGUUCCUCGGGAAUUCCUACAUAAAUUCUUUUGAAUUUCUCUGAUGAGUUUCUAAGAAAUUCCUCCAGGAGUUUCCCAGGAAAUGAUCUAAAAUUACCUCUGAACUGCCGGUGGAAGCAUAUUUGUCCAAUGUGCAUUUUUGGCAAUAUUGAGUGUUUGCAGCUUAUGAACAUGAAUCAUAGUGUACUAUCAUAUAGGGAAAUAAAAACAGGUCAAGCAUAGGUUUGCCCCCCAAUAUUUGACGAUUUUUUAAUUUUCCCAUACAUAAAAACAGAAAAAAAAACUCCUGGUGUAAUCUUAAAAGAAUAUCUUGGAGAAAAACCAGAAGAAACUAUAAGAGGAACCUAUAAAGUUACUCCUAGUGGAGACUCAGAAGAAGCUUCUGAAGGAAUCCCGGGAAAAGUUGCUGGAGGAAGGAUAUCCUAGAUAAAUCUGAUAAACAAUUCCUGGAGAAAUCCCAAAAGUAAUUUUUUGAGGAUUCAUAUAAGAAACGCCUAGAGAAAACCUAGAGGGAUGCCAAAUAGUUCUAUUUUAGAAAAAAAAAACUCCUGGAGAAAUCUUAGAAUGCAUUCCUGUAGAAAAUCCUAGAAGGAACUCUUGGAAUGAUCCCGGAAGGAAUUCCUGCGGGAAUCUCCGAAUAAAUAUAUGAGUGAACCAAAAAAAAAAAUACUAGGGAAAUCCCGGUUGAAAUUAUUGGAGGAUGGUUCAAAAAAACUUCUGGUAGAAUCUUAGAAAACACCUCUGGGGAAAACCCUGAAGGAACUCCUAGAUCCUAGAAGAUCCCAUGCUCCUAAAUCCUGGAAAAACAUUAGUUCCUGCAUGGAGGGUUUUUGUAGAAAUUCCAAUAAAAAUCUCUGGGACAUUUUAUGAGAAACACCGGCGAACUCCUGGUUGAUGUUCCGGUGGAAUACCUGGAAGAAUUUCAAGAGGAUUUUCUGCGAAAUCCCAGAGAAAAACCUUCGUACGGAAUGAGUUCCCCCAGAAUCUCAGCGCAAUGUCUUUCAUCAUUAUUCUCCUUGGAAAGCUUCACAACUCCGUUGGAAUCUUUAUCUGAAUUUUCCCUAGAAGCCCACCCAAAAGUUAUAAAUUGAAUCAUUUCCCCCACACGCGCGCGAAAAAGUACAUUUCAAUUUCAAUAACGUUUCCUGAGGAAACGAACGAAAAUUCUCUAAGUCCAAAUUGUAAACAACCUGGUGCCCUUUUCCUCACAUCCUUCUUACAGCAUCGUUGCGUUAAAAUGCUGUCAAUUAGACAAAUGUCAAAAUUACUUACAGAAAAAGGUGAAAUUUUACUUGAGCGCUCUACUUGGCAACAGGAAACUUAGCUUAAUGUUGAUGUUUUUGACGUGAAAUGAACCCUAAAUGAUGAUUUCAUGAAAAACUCAUUUCGUUUUUUGUGCUUCGAUAGAACGUACAUUUUGCUUCGAUAUAACGUACACAAAUUUUUUCCCCAAAUUGCGCUAAUUUUGGGUUACAAGGCUGAUGCUGCAACACAGCAUUGAUAUGAGUGAUUUCGUAGUUUAUCUGAUGGUUAAUCCUGGGAAAAAAUGAAAAGUUCAAUGUUGUACGUUAUAUCGAAGCAAAAUGUACGUUAUAUCGAAUUCUCUAUAUCGACGGUACUUUAUAUCGAGGGUACGUUAUAUCGAAGAAUACCUGUAUCUCAAUAGAUACAUUUUUUAGAUCAACAGGUUAUGCUAGUCCAUUACGAUCGACUCAUAAUUGAUGAACUGGCAACACUGUCACAUUUUUUUAAUCCUUAUUAUACUAGAUAUUGUUCAAAUCAUCACAAAACGUCUUUAUAUGGCAUCGGACAAUGUUUUUUUGUGAAAUUUAUAAACUGCACCUGAUUUUAUAUGAUACAUUAUAUGAAAAAAAUGAAUAUUUUUCUUAAAAACGCUUUAUCUCAGGAACGACGCAAAUUACCUUGGGGAGUUAAGCUUUUUCGAUUGAAAAGCGUCUGAUAAACACGAUGGAAUCAAAAUUUUUAAAAUCAAAAUAUACGUAUUUUGAGAAAAAUCGAUUUUUAGUUUUAAAAUUGAAAAAUAUGAUAUCUGGCAACACUGUAUCAAAAAAAUAAUAUUUUUUCUGGAUUCCCUGAACGAUUUCCGAUAUGAGAAAUUUAAUCCCCUAACACCCCACCAGUUUGUGAAACUAGACUUUUUUCGCAAAAAUGUCGGUGUUCGAAAACUAACUAACCCAAGUUUCGUUUGAAAUGAGUUGUAGAACACCUUACGAUUACUCACAUAUUAUUAUCAAUAAUAUUUCUGACCUCACAAAUGAAUGUUUUAAAGGUAGUGAAAUUGAUAAAAGCAAUGCCGUUCUAUUUUUGAUGUCUAGUGUCCAGUUAAACACGUAUUUUUAUGUGUGGUAAUCCUUAUAGUAUGCCUUUAUUUCCAACAAACAUUUGAAGUGAAUUUGGAAUAAGUAAAUCAAUGUUUAUAUGGUUUGGCGAUUUUUCAAAGUAGUGUGUGAAGAUGAAUCCCUUAACAGCCCAUGAGUUCUUAACACCCCAUUUUACGGUAUUUAAAACUUAACAGAACUUUAAAAGAUAUAUACCAUAGACGAGAGGAACAAACUUGUACUCUCUGGAGCGGAUCUGGUGUGAUGGUUAAAGCCCGUGACUGUCACGCCGAGGACCUGGGAUCGAAUCCCACUCCCGACAUACUAAAAAAAAUGUGAGUUUUCCUUCGGAAGGGAAGUAAAGUGUGGGUCCCGAGAUGAACUUGCCUAAAUCUCGUCAAUACAGAUAAAAAAAAGUACUAAUUAGUACGGGCAACACAAUAAAACCAAGAGUUUACCAUGCCUACAACUUCUUAACGCGCUGAUAAAACAUUGUUGCUUCAAACCAAGGGGCUGUUCAUAAACCACGUAGACCAAAUUUCGGCCAUCUCAGACCCCCCUCCCCCCUCGUACACUUUUGUCAAUACAAAAAUUUUGAAAUUUGUAUGGAGCGUAGACUUUGGCCAGACUCCUCCCCCCUCUCCCCAAAAAGUCUACGUGGUUUAUGAACGGUCCCCUAGCUUUUCCUGUUCUAGGAAGCGACACAAUUCCAACAGUGACGAUAAUAAUGUUAGCAAUGAUUAGCAAAGAUUAAUACCGAGCUCUGUGCUACUGAGUUGACAACAGUUGAGGCAGCGCGGUACGCUGGAGGAUCGAUCAUUACCGUUAAAGUAAGUUUUGAUAUUUAUUAAUAAAAAAACACUGACAUGUAAGAGCAAGUGAUCACAUUUUUCUGACUAACGGUUUGUUGUCAAAAAAGACUUCGUCAGUUUUGAGAACUAUCAUGACAAAACCAUACUACUACUCAUAGUAUAUUCGAAUCAAUCAAUAAAUCGGUGCACGGUUCGAAUGAUUAAAAUAUUGUCUAAAAUUGUUUAAUGCUCUAAGAUGUCAAGUAAAUGUUUAAUUUCAAGAAAUUCUCUAACGUCCUCAUUUUUAUUCACAUCAUGUCCAUUAAGAAGCUCCAUGGAUCAAUAUUGGAUCCUUAACUAUAUCUUUUGAAAACUACUAAAAUGCUUUCUUUAUUUCUGAACGAAGCAAAAGAAUUAUAAUCAAAAAAUACUACACAACUAUGCAUUUUUGUUACUUACACAGUUAAAAAUGUUAUAUCAUUAUAUCAUAUGUAGCAAAAGGACCCCGUCAUAUUGCACACAUGUUUCCAUCAAUUAAUAUUGUACGUGGAUUUGCUAACUGAACACGACGAAUCAGAACCGUCGUUUUUGGAAUCGCCGUUGGAAUCGUCGUUCGAAUGUAGAGCGAGACAGCAACCAAACUGACACAUCUCUUUGACAUAUUUAACGUAGGAGCAACACGUGCGUGAGGUUCUCUCUCUCGGUUGGUCUGAUGAUGGUAAGGAUGGAGGAGCAUAGUCGGAGGGGUGCUCCAAUGUGUUUUCAGAAGAAUUCGUCGAGAUAAAAAGUUUUUGUUAUAAAAAAUAUGGAAAAUUCUAGUUCAAAAGUUCAGCAUUAAACUUUUCAAUGCAUGUUACGUAUAUUAUUUUACAGAGAAUCAGUCUAGAGGUCGUUUAACGUAAUAAGAGCAUUAACAUAAAAGUCUAUAGUUUUACAAGAACGCAUUGAAACGCUCCUUGAAAUUUAACGGCGAUUCCCAACCAGCUCAAGCAAAUUCCCUUGGAAUUCAUCUUCGAAGUAAAAUCACAAUAAAUUUACAGCUUGCUCUCAGUAUGAAGCUUGCGUUCAACAUUCCAUACAAGAAAUUAUUUGAUGUAAAAUUAAGUUAAAAGAGAUAGAAAUUCGUACGCAAUUUUUUUUUUCGUCAGGCAUAAUUUCAGAUAUUUUGCUGAGUAGUAACCAUUCUCCGUUAAUAGUUUUCUUUGUUUUCUUGAAUUGAAAUGGAACACAUAUAGGGUAUGAAUGUCAUAAGCAAUUUUACGCUCACCGGUGGCAUUAGCUCGUUGUUAACACGUGAUUUGAAACACAUUUUGGUUAGAAACCCGAUCAUUGCAAAACAUGACUAUUUAAUGCAUUGAAAAGGCACUCAUGUGUCAUAUAUGUGCUAUCAGUGCAUUCCAAUGCACGUUAGUGUCAAAGUUACGUUACAAUUAGCGUAUGUCAUUUGCUCGUUGCGAAGCAAAUGUGUUGAAAUAAGUGAACGGCCGCUGUUGUAGACGGCUCCCUAUGAAAAUAUAGAGACUGGCCGUUGGUUUUUUAGCUAUAUCUCUGAAACGGUGAGAGAUUCCAUUUUAGCGUCAAAGAACAAAGGGAAGAACAUUUGUUUUUGCGCUUAGAAAUAUUAUGCUUAAAAUAAUCUAUGAUACAGAUGGUACUUUUAUCAGCAUUUUAAGACGUUUUUUCUCUAUGGUGAAAAAUGUUCUGAGAAACUUUUUUUCUUAAUGUAUUCUUAUUUGGAUUGCUGAGGUAAUUUGGCGUCGAUUUCACUACAAAAAGUUUGUUCUACGAUGCAUAGUUUUUAAGAUAUGAUUUUUUGAAGUUUGAGGUGUAUUACAAAAUUUAAAAAAAAUCGUGAAAUUUCAUCUAGCGUUUCCCGGAAAAAUAGUCCACUAUGAUUUUGUGUUCGGUAAUAAAAAAAAUCCCCUAUAGCCCUUUUCAAAAGUCAGUCUAGAAAAAAAAAAUAAAAAGUGGCUUAUCUGGGCAAGGUCUACACGAUUCUUCCCCAUUACCCCGAAUGCCACUUCCCCGAACGCCAUUACCCCGAACGCCAGUACCCCGAAAGCCAUUACCCCGAAUAGGCUAUUACCCCGAAUGGGUCAUUACCCCGCAUACCACUACCCCGAAUAGACCACUACCUCGAACGCCAUUACCCCGAAAGCAUAUUUUUAAAUAGCUUAUUCUGAUGAUGGUUUAUACAUACUUUUGUAAAGGAUAUUGAAGGAGAAGCCAUUGUUGAAAGAAGAAAUAAUUCAAUAACAUUACUGACAGCUUCAAUACCAGAAGAUACUAUUUGAAAGAAUAACCUUAAAACAACAUAAAGGAGCUAUGCGCAGUGUAAAGAAUUAGCCGCUAGGCGUGCGCAGUGUAAAGAAUAAGCCUAAAUGAAAAUUCACAAAUAAAAAGAAUUUAAAAAAAUCUAGCGUGAGCAACUUUUUUUUUUCUCACUCACUUUCGUAAACAAACCCAUGAAAGAACAGAUAAAAGAGAGGGCAUUUUGCUCUUCUAUCUCGCUUUUUCUUGAGUAUAUCAAAAAGAAUGAGCGAGAAAAAAAGCUGCGCACGCAAGUGAAUGCGUGUUAGAGCUGAUCUUGCAUGAGAUAUAACUGCCAGAAAAGGUCCGUUAAAUACUGGCUGUCAAUACUGGCUCAUUAGGCCUAAAAGACAUUUGGACAAACUAUCACUAUGCCAAAUGAUCAUAAGGCUAGAUGAAAAUUAUACCGAUCGAACCGAUCGAUGAAAAUUAUAACCGACAAACUAUCACUAUGCCAAAUGAUCAUAAGGCUAGAUCAUUAUAUCAUCAUAUUAUACCGAUCGAAAAAUUGGCCUCGAAAGAACAGCCUAUACCUAGAAGAAGGUAAAAUCUCUCAAGGAGGAAUAGACAGUUUGGUAAUUAAACUCUGUAACAACACAUUCUAAACAAGAGGAAAUUUUAGUUAAAAUACACAUUAAUAAAAAAAAAAACAA